UGUCACGUACUAUGUCUUGUAUGCUUCUUUUAUCAUCCCAAUAGAAGUGAUUUCGAAUGUGUGUGUAUUUUAUACAGUAUAGCAGCAUGUGUUCCGUUGUGUCUUUUUCAUCACAAAGAUCGCAUUCUUCCGAAUCUACUAGGCGCAUUUUAGCCAACCAGUAGUUCGAGAAGUCGCGUCCAGCCAGUAUUCUAUUUAGUGUUCGCACUUCUUCCCCAUUGAAUGUUGAAUUCCAAAACCACGGUCUUCUUGGAAAGCAGAGAAGUUUGUUGACGAUAAUCGCAUCAUUAUUCAAUCCUGCCUUUGCCAGAGUAUCUGCUGCUUCGUUUCCCUCCAGACCCACAUGGCCUGGAAUCCACUGAAGUACAGUGCCCGUUGUUUGCAGUUCUUUGCAAAUUGUACCAGUCAGACUGUCCCAUGAUUUGGAUUCUUGGUGUUUUUCCAAAAGUAGACAUGCAGACUGGGAGUCGCUGAUGUGUUUUUCACUCGUAAAACCAUCCGUACUCGUGCCCGAUCGUAACCGAACUCGACAAACUAAUGGUCAGGGCACAAAAGCCAAUCGUCAAAAUUCACGUUUAAGCAGAGAUGCCAGAUAUCUAUACACGCAAAAAUAAAACAACCCACAGAAUAAGUUCGUCAACAGUUCCCGGAUAGAAUUUUACAAUAGCAUUUACCCUACAAACAAUCAUAAAACAAUAAAUAUUAUAGUUAUUAGAGCAUGUUCAGGAGUGUUUCAGUUUUAGAUUUAUAAUUUUGACAGUUCUAUAAUAUAAAACUGAAAAUUUUAAAACUGGAACUUUCUGUCCCUAGCAGCAGUUUUGGCGAGGGUGCUACUCAGUUUAAAAUGCAUGUCUCGCCAUGCCUUCAGCGUUACUGCAUUCAAAUUUAUUUUUCCCCAGUCUAUCGGUUCUAAGUGUCUAUGCUGAAAACUUUGCAUGCAUUUAAAACACAGUUCUAAACGUGUUUUAAAAUCAGCAACAAAUAGAGCGGAGUUGUAUAACAGUUUUAAAUUUUGAAACAAAACUGUUCGAAAUUAUAAAACAAAACGCCCUGCUGGGGAUGUGGAUGCUUCAGUUCCAGUUCUACUUUGAAACUCCUAUACAAAAUAAAACGCUCCUGAAUAUGCCCUUACUGUUUCAACAUUGUUCGAUGCCAAGUUCUCA
Molecule: long non-coding RNA, 1163 nt
Organism: Topomyia yanbarensis
Lineage: Eukaryota; Metazoa; Arthropoda; Insecta; Diptera; Culicidae
Exons: 3
Source: RefSeq, a predicted model, not a curated record